UACGUAGGGGGCAAGCGUUGUCCGGAAUCAUUGGGCGUAAAGCGCGUGUAGGCGGCUUGAUAAGUCCGCUCUGAAAGCCCGGGGCUCAACCCCGGGAGGCGGGUGGAUACUGUCAAGCUCGAGUCCGGAAGAGGCGAGUGGAAUUCCUGGUGUAGCGGUGAAAUGCGCAGAUAUCAGGAGGAACACCAAUGGCGAAGGCAGCUCGCUGGGACGUGACUGACGCUGAGACGCGAAAGCGUGGGGAGCAAACAGG
This 253-nucleotide ribosomal RNA is filed under the name uncultured bacterium. Its description in RNAcentral is "partial 16S ribosomal RNA". It matches the Rfam family "Bacterial small subunit ribosomal RNA", at positions 524 to 776 of the family's 1533-position model. The record is from RNAcentral.